This 301-nucleotide ribosomal RNA is filed under the name uncultured bacterium. RNAcentral describes it as "partial 16S ribosomal RNA". It matches the Rfam family "Bacterial small subunit ribosomal RNA", at positions 509 to 808 of the family's 1533-position model. The record is from RNAcentral.
CAGUCGCCGCGGUAAUACGUAGGUGGCAAGCGUUGUCCGGAAUUAUUGGGCGUAAAGGGCUCGCAGGCGGUUUCUUAAGUCUGAUGUGAAAGCCCCCGGCUCAACCGGGGAGGGUCAUUGGAAACUGGGAAACUUGAGUGCAGAAGAGGAGAGCGGAAUUCCACGUGUAGCAGUGAAAUGCGUGGAGAUCAAGAGGAACACUCGUGGCGAAAGCGAGUUACUGGACAAUAACUGACGCUGAGACUCGAAGGCCAGGGUAGCGAAAGGGAUUAGAUACCCAUGUAGUCCCUGUCUCUUAUAU